RNAcentral lists this ribosomal RNA (459 nucleotides) under uncultured bacterium. Its description in RNAcentral is "partial 16S ribosomal RNA". It matches the Rfam family "Bacterial small subunit ribosomal RNA", at positions 338 to 795 of the family's 1533-position model. The record is from RNAcentral.
CCUACGGGAGGCAGCAGUGAGGAAUAUUGGUCAAUGGCCGGAAGUCUGAACCAGCCAAGCCGCGUGAAGGACGACGGUGCCAAGCAUUGUAAACUUCUUUUGUCAGGGGACAAACUCAGGCUCGCGAGCCUGACCGAGGGUACUUUACGAAAAAGCAUCGGCUAACUCCGUGCCAGCAGCCGCGGUAAUACGGAGGAUGCGAGCGUUAUCCGGAUUUAUUGGGUUUAAAGGGUGCGUAGGCGGACUGUUAAGUCAGCGGUAAAAGCCCGGGGCUCAACCCGGGCCGGCCGUUGAAACUGGGGAUCUGGAGUGGGCGAGAAGUAGGCGGAAUGCGUGGUGUAGCGGUGAAAUGCAUAGAGAUCACGCAGAACUCCGAUUGCGAAGGCAGCAUACCGGAGCCCGACUGACGCUGAGGCACGAAAGCGUGGGGAUCGAACAGGAUUAGAUACCCGAGUAGUC